Molecule: long non-coding RNA, 337 nt
Filed under: Carica papaya (papaya)
Lineage: Eukaryota; Viridiplantae; Streptophyta; Magnoliopsida; Brassicales; Caricaceae
Description: long non-coding RNA (CPAP_LNC011713)
Source: RNAcentral
GAGAUGAUUGAAGGAACAAUUAAGGAAGAUUAUGACCAGUUUGGGAAAGAAUUAAUUGCUCCCAUAAUCUUCCCAAAAUCUAUGAGAUUCAAUCUCCCAUUAAGACAUCAGAUUUGCUUUCCUCUUUCUCUUGAUUUCUUAUGCGGAUUAUGAAGGAAAUUCCCUCCCCCGGGGGUGAUUCUCCCUUUAAAAGAAAAGAUUCAUGGGAGGUUUGAGAGAAGAAAUCCCUUAUAGAAAGAUUUCCUUUUCUUUUUUGUUUAUCUUCCUCUUCCACUUGGAUUGAGAUGCAUGUACCAUAAUGCUCUUGAAUUGAUGGACUUAUUUUCUUCUUCUUUUG